RNAcentral lists this ribosomal RNA (2878 nucleotides) under Ralstonia pseudosolanacearum. RNAcentral's name for it is "23S ribosomal RNA". It matches the Rfam family "Bacterial large subunit ribosomal RNA". Lineage: Bacteria; Pseudomonadati; Pseudomonadota; Betaproteobacteria; Burkholderiales; Burkholderiaceae. RNAcentral also lists the same sequence under 1 other name. The record is from RNAcentral.
GGUCAAGCGAAUAAGUGCAUGUGGUGGAUGCCUUGGCGAUCACAGGCGAUGAAGGACGUAGUAGCUUGCGAAAAGCUGCGGGGAGCUGGCAAACGAGCUUUGAUCCGCAGAUGUCCGAAUGGGGAAACCCGGCCCGUAUGGGUCAUCCCUUGCUGAAUACAUAGGCAAGGGAGGCGAACGCAGUGAACUGAAACAUCUAAGUAGCUGCAGGAAAAGAAAUCAACCGAGAUUCCCAAAGUAGUGGCGAGCGAAAUGGGAACAGCCUUGUACUCUUUAGCAGUAUUGUUAGCGGAACGGAAUGGAAAGUCCGGCCAUAGUGGGUGAUAGCCCCGUACGCGAAAACAGUAUUGUGGAACUAGGUGUACGACAAGUAGGGCGGGACACGUGAAAUCCUGUCUGAAGAUGGGGGACCAUCCUCCAAGGCUAAAUACUCGUGAUCGACCGAUAGUGAACCAGUACCGUGAGGGAAAGGCGAAAAGAACCCCGGGAGGGGAGUGAAAUAGAUCCUGAAACCGCAUGCAUACAAACAGUCGGAGCCUGGAAACGGGUGACGGCGUACCUUUUGUAUAAUGGGUCAGCGACUUACAUUCAGUGGCAAGCUUAACCGAUUAGGGAAGGCGUAGCGAAAGCGAGUCCGAAUAGGGCGUUCAGUCGCUGGGUGUAGACCCGAAACCAAGUGAUCUAUCCAUGGCCAGGUUGAAGGUGCGGUAACACGUACUGGAGGACCGAACCCACUAACGUUGAAAAGUUAGGGGAUGAGCUGUGGAUAGGGGUGAAAGGCUAAACAAACUUGGAAAUAGCUGGUUCUCUCCGAAAACUAUUUAGGUAGUGCCUCGUGUCUCACCUUCGGGGGUAGAGCACUGUCAUGGUUGGGGGGUCUAUUGCUGAUUACCCCGCCAUAGCAAACUCCGAAUACCGAAGAGUGCAAUCACGGGAGACAGACAUCGGGUGCUAACGUCCGGUGUCAAGAGGGAAACAACCCAGACCGCCAGCUAAGGUCCCUAAGAUUGGCUAAGUGGGAAACGAAGUGGGAAGGCUAAAACAGUCAGGAGGUUGGCUUAGAAGCAGCCACCCUUUAAAGAAAGCGUAAUAGCUCACUGAUCGAGUCGUCCUGCGCGGAAGAUGUAACGGGGCUAAGCCAGUCACCGAAGCUGCGGAUGCACGUAAGUGCAUGGUAGGAGAGCGUUCUGUAAGCCUGUGAAGGUGUCUUGUAAAGGAUGCUGGAGGUAUCAGAAGUGCGAAUGCUGACAUGAGUAGCGAUAAAGGGGGUGAAAGGCCCCCUCGCCGUAAGCCCAAGGUUUCCUACGCAACGUUCAUCGGCGUAGGGUGAGUCGGCCCCUAAGGCGAGGCAGAGAUGCGUAGCUGAUGGGAAGCAGGUUAAUAUUCCUGCACCGUCGUAUGAUGCGAUGGGGGGACGGAUCGCGGAAGGUUGUCCGGGUGUUGGAAGUCCCGGUCCCUACAUUGGAGAUGGCACUUAGGCAAAUCCGGGUGCGUGAUUCAAGGGUGUGGGGCGAGCGACGUUAGGUCGCGAAGCAAUUGGAAGUGGUUCCAAGAAAAGCCUCUAAGCUUCAGUCAUACGAGACCGUACCGCAAACCGACACAGGUGGGCGAGAUGAGUAUUCUAAGGCGCUUGAGAGAACUCGGGAGAAGGAACUCGGCAAAUUGGUACCGUAACUUCGGGAUAAGGUACGCCCUUGUAGUUUGACUGGCUCGCGCCAGAAGGAUGAAGGGGUUGCAAUAAAAUGGUGGCUGCGACUGUUUAAUAAAAACACAGCACUCUGCAAACACGAAAGUGGACGUAUAGGGUGUGACGCCUGCCCGGUGCCGGAAGAUUAAAUGAUGGGGUGCAAGCUCUUGAUUGAAGUCCCGGUAAACGGCGGCCGUAACUAUAACGGUCCUAAGGUAGCGAAAUUCCUUGUCGGGUAAGUUCCGACCUGCACGAAUGGCGUAACGAUGGCCACACUGUCUCCUCCCGAGACUCAGCGAAGUUGAAGUGUUUGUGAUGAUGCAAUCUCCCCGCGGCUAGACGGAAAGACCCCAUGAACCUUUACUGUAGCUUUGCAUUGGACUUUGAACCGAUCUGUGUAGGAUAGGUGGGAGGCUUUGAAACCGGGACGCUAGUUUCGGUGGAGCCGACCUUGAAAUACCACCCUGGUUUGUUUGAGGUUCUAACCUUGGCCCGUGAAUCCGGGUCGGGGACAGUGCAUGGUAGGCAGUUUGACUGGGGCGGUCUCCUCCCAAAGUGUAACGGAGGAGUUCGAAGGUACGCUUGGUACGGUCGGACAUCGUACCUAAAGUGCAAUGGCAAAAGCGUGCUUAACUGCGAGACCGACAAGUCGAGCAGGUGCGAAAGCAGGACAUAGUGAUCCGGUGGUUCUGUAUGGAAGGGCCAUCGCUCAACGGAUAAAAGGUACUCUGGGGAUAACAGGCUGAUACCGCCCAAGAGUUCAUAUCGACGGCGGUGUUUGGCACCUCGAUGUCGGCUCAUCUCAUCCUGGGGCUGUAGCCGGUCCCAAGGGUAUGGCUGUUCGCCAUUUAAAGAGGUACGUGAGCUGGGUUUAAAACGUCGUGAGACAGUUUGGUCCCUAUCUGCCGUGGGCGUUGGAAUCUUGACGGGGGCUGCUCCUAGUACGAGAGGACCGGAGUGGACGUACCGCUGGUGUACCUGUUGUCUCGCCAGAGGCAUCGCAGGGUAGCUAUGUACGGAAGAGAUAACCGCUGAAAGCAUCUAAGCGGGAAACUCGCCUGAAGAUGAGGAUUCCCUGGAGACUUGAUCUCCCUGAAGGGUCGUUCGAGACCAGGACGUUGAUAGGCUGGGUGUGGAAGCGCAGUAAUGCGUUCAGCUAACCAGUACUAAUUGCCCGUGCGGCUUGAUCCU